RNAcentral lists this ribosomal RNA (253 nucleotides) under uncultured bacterium. Its description in RNAcentral is "partial 16S ribosomal RNA". It matches the Rfam family "Bacterial small subunit ribosomal RNA", at positions 524 to 776 of the family's 1533-position model. The record is from RNAcentral.
UACGUAGGUGGCAAGCGUUGUCCGGAUUUAUUGGGUUUAAAGGGUGUGUAGGCGGGCUUUUAAGUCAGUGGUGAAAUCUCCGAGCUCAACUUGGAAACUGCCAUUGAUACUAUUAGUCUUGAAUUCUGUUGAGGUAGGCGGAAUAAGUCAUGUAGCGGUGAAAUGCUUAGAUAUGACUUAGAACACCGAUUGCGAAGGCAGCUUACUAAACAGACAUUGACGCUGAGGCACGAAAGCGUGGGGAUCAAACAGG